AACAUAAAAUCAAAAUAAGAAUGAAAACAAACUAGCAUUUCACCCUAAUUAACAUCAAGUAGUAAAUUAGCUCCAACUAACUAUGAGCAAUUUCAAUUAUGAAUAGAAUAUGACAAAACAAGAAAUUUGGCUAAUAUAUCAUUCCAACACCAAAUGAGAUAGCAAUUGACGAAAGGUGAGAUGGAACGGACCUUUCAUAUCAAAAACACUUCUUGAAUACAAGGGUGGGAAUUCUACAAGAACAACUCGACCAAGAGAAGACAGGACUCGCUCGCAACCUAGCAAACUCGACUAGAUUUGCACAGCUAUUUCGAGUGUAAAGGAGUCGUGUCGAUGGAUGUUUGCGGCUGGCACUGGACGGUAUUUCAUUUGAUCUUUGGUUCUGAUUUUGGGAUAGUUUUUCUGGGAUUUUUGGACUAGUUUUUCAGCAAUUUCGCAGCUGGUUUGUCUGCUCUUUGGAGCUAUUUUGCGGACAGUUUUUAAGGUCAAUUCGGGUGACGUUUUAGGGGUUGAAUUUCAGCAUGGUUUAGGGCUCUUUUCGUGGUGGUUUUAAGUGUUUUUGGGGUGUUUGAGCUAAAUUUUUUGAGGUUGGAAAUCUAUGGAAGAAGCUAGAUUUUGGGUGAAGCCACAUCGGGUUUCAGCUACGUUUUUUGGGAUGCUUUUGGUUGCUUCAUGUCACUGAUAUUAGAUGGUCCUAUGGUUAGUUUUGUCAUCAGAAGGGCUGGCCUUACAUGGCUAUGAAAAUUUGAUCGAAAAAAGAGAAUGAAU
Molecule: long non-coding RNA, 768 nt
Filed under: Nicotiana benthamiana
Lineage: Eukaryota; Viridiplantae; Streptophyta; Magnoliopsida; Solanales; Solanaceae
Description: long non-coding RNA (NBEN_LNC028405)
Source: RNAcentral